This 253-nucleotide ribosomal RNA is filed under the name uncultured bacterium. Its description in RNAcentral is "partial 16S ribosomal RNA". It matches the Rfam family "Bacterial small subunit ribosomal RNA", at positions 524 to 776 of the family's 1533-position model. The record is from RNAcentral.
UACGUAGGGUGCAAGCGUUGUCCGGAAUUAUUGGGCGUAAAGAGCUCGUAGGCGGUCUGUCGCGUCGGCUGUGAAAACCCGGAGCUCAACUCCGGGCCUGCAGUCGAUACGGGCAAACUGGAGUGUUGCAGGGGAGACUGGAAUUCCUGGUGUAGCGGUGAAAUGCGCAGAUAUCAGGAGGAACACCGGUGGCGAAGGCAGCACUCUGGGACGGUACUGACGCUGAGACGCGAAAGCGUGGGGAGCAAACAGG